RNAcentral lists this ribosomal RNA (120 nucleotides) under Streptomyces griseoviridis. Its description in RNAcentral is "partial 16S rRNA". It matches the Rfam family "Bacterial small subunit ribosomal RNA", at positions 162 to 283 of the family's 1533-position model. The record is from RNAcentral. RNAcentral also lists the same sequence under 2 other names. Lineage: Bacteria; Bacillati; Actinomycetota; Actinomycetes; Kitasatosporales; Streptomycetaceae.
UCUAAUACCGGAUAAUACUUCUCCUCGCAUGGGGAGGGGUUGAAAGCUCCGGCGGUGCAGGAUGAGCCCGCGGCCUAUCAGCUUGUUGGUGAGGUAGUGGCUCACCAAGGCGACGACGGG